UGGCCUCCCAAAGUGCUGGGAUUACAGGCGUGAACCACCAUGCCUAACCUGAGCUGGGCUAGCAGCAGGAAUCACAUUAAACAUUGCUGGUAACAAUCGCUUAGUGCCAGUAGAAAGAGUUACAGGUGAAGAUUUUUGGAUUCUUUCCAAAAUUUUAAAGAAUUGUCUGUAUAUUAAUGGUUUGGAUGUUGGAUAUAACCUUCUAUGUGAUGUUGGUGCAUACUAUGCUGCGAAACUGCUUCAGAAACAACUUAAUCUCAUUUACUUAAACCUCAUGUUUAAUGAUAUUGGGCCCGAAGGUGGAGAAUUGAUUGCUAAAGUGCUACAUAAGAAUCGGACUCUGAAAUACCUAAGAAUGACUGGAAACAAAAUUGAAAAUAAAGGUGGAAUGUUUUUUGCUGCAAUGCUGCAAAUUAAUUCAUCAUUAGAGAAAUUAGAUCUGGGUGACUGUGAUCUGGGAAUGCAAAGUGUGAUAGCAUUUGCUACAGUACUAACUCAAAACCAAGCAAUUAAGGCAAUAAACCUAAACCGACCUAUACUGUAUGGUGAACAGGAAGAGUCUACAGUCCAUGUAGGCCGCAUGUUGAAAGAAAAUCACUGUCUUGUUGCACUACACAUGUGUAAGCAUGAUAUAAAAAACAGUGGUAUACAACAGUUAUGUGAUGCACUGUAUCUGAACAGUAGCCUGCGCUACCUUGAUGUCAGCUGCAACAAAAUAACUCAUGAUGGAAUGGUGUAUUUGGCUGAUGUACUGAAAAGCAACACUACCCUGGAAGUAAUAGAUCUUUCCUUUAACAGAAUAGAAAAUGCAGGCGCAAACUAUCUCAGUGAAACUCUUACUUCACACAACAGGAGUCUUAAAGCGUUAGUAUGGUUUUAUAUUUAAUCAAAAUAACAGAAAAGCAAAUUUUUA
RNAcentral lists this small RNA (913 nucleotides) under Pan troglodytes (chimpanzee). RNAcentral's name for it is "processed transcript". Lineage: Eukaryota; Metazoa; Chordata; Mammalia; Primates; Hominidae. The record is from RNAcentral.